GACGAACGCUGGCGGCGUGCCUAAUACAUGCAAGUUGAGCGCUGAAGGUUGGUACUUGUACCAACUGGAUGAGCAGCGAACGGGUGAGUAACGCGUGGGGAAUCUGCCUUUGAGCGGGGGACAACAUUUGGAAACGAAUGCUAAUACCGCAUAAAAACUUUAAACACAAGUUUUAAGUUUGAAAGAUGCAAUUGCAUCACUCAAAGAUGAUCCCGCGUUGUAUUAGCUAGUUGGUGAGGUAAAGGCUCACCAAGGCGAUGAUACAUAGCCGACCUGAGAGGGUGAUCGGCAACAUUGGGACUGAGACACGGCCCAAACUCCUACGGGAGGCAGCAGUAGGGAAUAUUCGGCAAUGGACGAAAGUCUGACCGAGCAACGCCGCGUGAGUGAAGAAGGUUUUCGGAUCGUAAAACUCUGUUGGUAGAGAAGAACGGUGGUGAGAGUGGAAAGCUCAUCAAGUAACGGUAACUAACCAGAAAGAGACGGCUAACUACGUG
Molecule: ribosomal RNA, 497 nt
Filed under: uncultured bacterium
Lineage: Bacteria
Description: partial 16S ribosomal RNA
Rfam family: Bacterial small subunit ribosomal RNA
Source: RNAcentral